AACUGCAUCGAUUUCUUUCAGUUACCAAAAAAAAAGGACAUUUAUACUUCCAGAACAUUUUCUUUAUCACCUCUAACAGCAUGAGAUAUCGAUUUAACUCACGUAUUGCUUACUAAUGGAAGCGAUUAUUCAUUUUUGCUUGUGAGCACGUAGAAACCAUGCUGUUUAAUUUUCGAUGGCAUUGUCUUCAUUUCUCUACUUUAUUUAAGAAAAAGAACAAGAAGUAGAAAUAGAUGUCAAAGAAGCGGGAGAUAAGCAACAGGAAUCGGCAUAAUAUGCGUUCCUGCUGCAAUUGGAAAGCAUGACCGGAUGGCGAUGGGGAGAUGCCGAAGCUCGAAUUCCGAUGAAGCCAUCGUUAAUUUCUUAUGUUUCGUGCGCCGAAAUAAAUCUUAUAAGCUUACUUUCUUUUUUUCGAGUUUUAAAUUUUACAUUAAUACUAAUUUUAAAAUUUGUACUGAUUAAGUUUCUCUUCCAAGGUAAAAAAAAAAAAAAAAAAAAAAUUACUAUUCUUGCACUGCUGGAAACUGUACAUUACACACCAGUGUAAUGUUAAAAAUCAUUAAUUAUUUUAUUUUUUUUAUUUACUGCAACCAACAAUGUUUUCCUAAACUUUUCUUCAAACAAAACACCCUUCCAUUAGCACAUGGAAUACUGUAGAAGACGAUAAAGAAGGAAAGACAGUUUUUAAUGAUUUUGGAGCAUGGUAAACCUUCCGUAGCAUUUAUCACAGUAUGCAUUAUGCCCAUUAAUACCCGAAUGAAUAAAGCUAUGAGAAACCAGUAA
Stegodyphus dumicola is the source of this 783-nucleotide long non-coding RNA. RefSeq lists it as uncharacterized. NCBI's taxonomy places the organism in Eukaryota, Metazoa, Arthropoda, Arachnida, Araneae, Eresidae. The record is from RefSeq and is a predicted model, not a curated record.